This 465-nucleotide ribosomal RNA is filed under the name uncultured bacterium. RNAcentral describes it as "partial 16S ribosomal RNA". It matches the Rfam family "Bacterial small subunit ribosomal RNA", at positions 28 to 507 of the family's 1533-position model. The record is from RNAcentral.
GACGAACGCUGGCGGCGUGCUUAACACAUGCAAGUCGAACGGAAAGGCCCCUUUGGGGGUCCUCGAGUGGCGAACGGGUGAGUAACACGUGAGUAACCUGCCCUUGACUUCGGGAUAACUUCAGGAAACUGGGGCUAAUACCGGAUAGGAAUCCUUGCUGCAUGGUGGGGGUUGGAAAGCUUCGGCGGUUUUGGAUGGACUCGCGGCUUAUCAGCUUGUUGGUGGGGUAGUGGCUUACCAAGGCUUUGACGGGUAGCCGGCCUGAGAGGGCGACCGGCCACAUUGGGACUGAGAGACGGCCCAGACUCCGACGGGAGGCAGAAGGGGGGAAGAUUGCACAAUGGGCGGAAGCCUGAUGCAGCAACGCCGCGUGCGGGAUGACGGCCUUCGGGUUGAAAACCGCUUUCAGCAGGGGCGAAGCUUGUGGUGACGGUACCUGCAGAAGAAGCACCGGCUAACUACGUG